RNAcentral lists this transfer RNA (74 nucleotides) under Myxococcales bacterium. RNAcentral describes it as "tRNA-Asp". It matches the Rfam family "tRNA". Rfam says of the family: Transfer RNA (tRNA) molecules are approximately 80 nucleotides in length. Their secondary structure includes four short double-helical elements and three loops (D, anti-codon, and T loops). Lineage: Bacteria; Pseudomonadati; Myxococcota; Myxococcia; Myxococcales. The record is from RNAcentral.
GGGGUCGUGGCGCAGCAGGUCAGCGCAGCCGGUUGUCAGCCGGAAGGUCGCGGGUUCGAAUCCCGCCGGUCCCG